UGAUGAAUAUAUAUUAACAAAACUGAGAAGAAAUGACAAAAAAUAGAAGCUCAUUUGUUUCUGUUCAGAAUGUCAGGCACCAAAGUGCCCUGUGAUUAUGCAGCGCUGUUCUAUAGUACUAGUUUGGAGAAGAGACAUUUUUUCGAGCACCCAGAAUGGCCUGGGAUGUAUCUAGCAUGGUGAAGAAAUCAUAUGCCAAGCUGGAGGGUGCAGAGAUGACCCAAGCAUCCAUCAAUGCCAAAGACGGAAAGUUGGAAGUGUGCCACUGCACAAUCUGCUUUCCUUGGGGCAGUUGCUUAUGCAACAGGCCAAAGGGCCAUGCUGCCCCAAUAGGCACGAAAUCAUGCCAAGAGGCCUUCAUGGAAGCUCACUAGGCCACGAGCCCAGUAUGGGGACUUUCCCAUGGACUGGACAGUUGGAGAGGUUGGAGUCUUUGGGAAGAACCAAAA
RNAcentral lists this long non-coding RNA (449 nucleotides) under Carica papaya (papaya). Its description in RNAcentral is "long non-coding RNA (CPAP_LNC010801)". The record is from RNAcentral. Lineage: Eukaryota; Viridiplantae; Streptophyta; Magnoliopsida; Brassicales; Caricaceae.